UCUAGCUCACACCAGACUGCGCUGGGAGCAAGCGUUUUUCCUUUAAACCAGGACAAACUGUCAAAAUGAGUGAAUUUUUUGAAGACUUUUUAACUUGUAAGAUGUGUCUGGACACAUUUAAAGACCCCGUGACUCUGAGUUGUGACCACAGCUUUUGUUUGAGCUGUCUGCAGAAACACUGGGACCAAAACAGGACCGAAAACUGCCCCAUUUGUGGAAAGGACUCUACAAAAGAUCAGCUCAUUGUGAAUAGCACUCUUAAAGAAAUGGCUGAUUCAUUCGCUCAGAAGCAGAAGACCAAAGCACAAUAGAAGAACCCAGAUGCCCUUCCAUGGUUAAAGACGAAGACCAAGUAGGGCCUUUACCUUGACGACACAGGCAACCCCAGGACUGCCAGCGGAAUUGCAAUCAAUGGACACAAUGAGCAAUUCGCAAAAGCUGCCAUUUUUAAAGAAGUGUAAUACUAUGCCCUCCCUGUGCGUCAGAUGCCCUCCCUGUGCGUCAGAUGCCCUCCCUGUGCGUCAGAUGCCCUCCCUGUGCGUCAGAUGCCCUCCCUGUGCGUCAGAUGUGUCAGCCCUGAUAUAAUCUAUAAAUUUUGUUUUGCAGAGGCCAAAACAACAAACUCCAUAGUAACAGUUUAUCUUCCAUCUACAGGACCUGGGUUUGAUUAUGUUCAGAAAAGACAGAAAUGGAGCAGCUUCUAACAGAACUUUUGUCUUUUGGAUAACUCGCGAUCUUCGGAGAACAUCAGAAUAUUUCAUACGUUAAUAAUGUUGAGACAAGGAGCGGGUUACAAUGUGGAGUUGAUCUGCAUGUUUUUGGUGUGGGGAGCUCCUCCUAAUCACCUACAUUAUAUUUUCAUUUUAGAGAUGUAAGUAGUCUG
Periophthalmus magnuspinnatus is the source of this 883-nucleotide long non-coding RNA. RefSeq lists it as uncharacterized. The record is from RefSeq and is a predicted model, not a curated record. Lineage: Eukaryota; Metazoa; Chordata; Actinopteri; Gobiiformes; Gobiidae. The transcript is spliced from 3 exons.